GGUCAGUGAUGUGAUGUAAAAGGUCUGAUGUCCAGCUCUUCCUCCAGUCUCCUCGUCCCUCCCAGCCGGCCCUAUUAAUUUUCCCAGCAUGCUCUAGUUGUGCAGACCUGGUUUGAUGUGGCGGCUGAUAUUAUGGAUGUUUCUGCUGCACAGGAGUCUUUUUUUAGAGAAUCCAUUGAGACUCUGACAGAAGCAUCCCACAGAAACAUGACACACAGGAGGGCUGGACUGAAGGAGGCUGGUCAGCUGAUCUCAAAAAUCAUUCUGAGACC
Cyprinus carpio carpio is the source of this 272-nucleotide non-coding RNA. Ensembl annotates it as small Cajal body-specific RNA 6. Its record names the gene SCARNA6. The record is from Ensembl. NCBI's taxonomy places the organism in Eukaryota, Metazoa, Chordata, Actinopteri, Cypriniformes, Cyprinidae.